UCUCUCUCUCUCUCUCUCUCUCUCUCUCUCUCUCUCUCUCUCUCUCUCUCUCUCUCUCUCUCUCUGACAGAUUUUACUAGGUUUUUUCUACUCUUGCAACCUGAAAAAGACCAUACAUUUCUUCACAUCCACUGUGUCUCUCACCAAAACCUCCCUUUCUUUAAUUGCCUGAAUUACUGUGUCCUUGGUCUGUAUUUGUAUUUUAACCACCUCUGUGAAGCUAACUUUUUUAUCCUCAUGUUCUUUCUUCCAGGUAUUUCUCAGUUCCUCCAGUUUGGUUUCACAUACCACCCCUUCCAUUUUUCCUGCACUGUCUUCCACCUUCUCUUGCAGCCCCUCUAGAGUUACUUCAUAUUCAUUACACUUAGUCUUAAUAUCUUAUUUUCUUUCUUUAGUUCCUCCAUUGCCUCUUUCAUCUCAUUGUUUAUCUUUAGAGCAGUCUCACAUUCACUAUACUUCUUUCUCAAUUCUCUGUUUUUCAUAAUAAGUUUUCCAGAAUGCCAGAGAUCAGUUCCCUCAUGCACCUCAUUUCUUUCUUGACACUGAUUAUCCUCCUCAUAUUUCCUUUCUCUUUUCUGAAUCCUGAAAAAUCCCUUUCUCCACUUGCCUCCACCCACAGAGAUUUGAAUAAAGUGCACCUUCUGUUUCACCUCACUUGGUUUGUUUACAAACACAUCACGACUGGUGGUGCCUCCUAGAUCUUCCUUUCCUUCCAUUUCUUUUAACCUCAAAAUACUCCUUUAUGUAUUAAAUUUGGAGACAGGACACUCUGUAAUCCCCUCUACCCUCUCACUAGGCCUUGUUGUUUUAAAACAGUCCAGAUCCAGUAGCUUGUAUCUUCACGAGCUCUAGCACCUGUGUCCGAACAGCUGGCCGGUGUGUGUGUGUGUGUGUGUGUGUGUGUGUGUGUGUGUGUGUGUGUGUGUGUGUGUGUGUUACAUACUAUAAAAAUGCAGGGUGCAACCCCAAGCUUCCACCUUGAUGAAAGGUGAAGCACUGCUCCCAUCAGUAGAUAUUAUCAAGCUUCCAUAAUAAUAUUUAGGAAAACUAAGCCUACUGUAGUUGUCACAAGACAUUGCUGCUAAUCUAGAACAUGAUUGAAUUAUCAGUUCAAAGGAAAUCAUUGCUCUUCUUGUUUUCCUGCACUCCAUUGUUACAUGGGCAAGCUUUAUGUUAUCACUCAUCAGCACCUGCAUAUAUUUGUAUUAUGUGUCAUGCCAGUAAAAUAACGAAAUGUGCUGCUUCAGAGACAGUGACUGAUAAAUCAAUGCCAGCAACAUUACAGGAACAAAAGGGAGUUAAAGAAAUGGAGAGAAAAUGUUUACUCACUUUUAUUUAUUUAUUUAUUUUCAUAUUUUAUGCAUAGUCUACUCUAGAAAUGCAGCAAUGUUUUUUGAACUUGAUAGUAGGUUCAGUUUUCCUAAUCAUCAUCUGGUAGCUUGAUGAAACCAGACAUACAGCUAUAUAGUGUGAUGUCCAGCUUCCUCUCUUCCUCUGCAUAAUAUCAUUCAAGGGUGGCUUCAGUGGCUGUUGCAUGGUGUGUGUGAAUAUGUGAGCAUGUGUGUGUGCAGAAUAUAUCCAUCUGAUGUGAAAUGCCAAUAAUGAUGUGGAGAAAACAGAUAUAAGCAAUGUUAUUAGGAAAAAUUAUGGCCAACAUUGCAUGUAAUAAGAUGUACUACACUAUAGGUAAUCAGAUGGAAUGGUGCCAUAAAAUAUGCUGGGGCCUUUCACUGUGCGAUGAUCCACAGGGCUGUACUCUUAAACAAUUCCUCUGCACGGAAUCACAUGAGAAAUUCUGUCGUCAUAAAAGUGAUACUGUUAAACUGCUCUGAGCUGUGAGAGAUGCUGUCCUACAGCCUGGGAUAGCAUCUCUUGGAGGGAACUGCCACCCCAUGUCUUUGCCUUUCCCUUCGCUAAUGCCGGUAGCUUGUCAAGAAGUAUCGCCUCAUUUUUAGACCAGCUUUCAAAGAUGGAGAGGGGAAACUUGUCAGAGGAAGCCCCAUCUCUGCUUCUGAGUGGAAUCUCUUAAUCGAUCUCAUCAGAGAUGAAAAAAAAAUGUUCGGGACUGGAGGACUGAUGGGAAAACUGCUCUGCAGAUGAGUAAAACAUGAGCAAGCUCUCCAGAUGAGGGAGCAGAAGAGGACUGGUGGUGGGAUCCCUCCACCUGCUGUCUCCUUGGCACAGACAUUGACUACAUAGGGAGUCCUAGCUUGUGAACACUCCAGUUUGAUGGUGUGUGAGGUGGUCUCAAUAAAGCCCAUUCCUGAGGAGAUGGAAGAGGUGGAGGUGGAGGUCCAGACAGUAGGGCCAAGUUUCAGCUAACCACCUGUCCCACAAGAACCCAACAAACAUCAAAGACUUCAUGAUAACAUGUAUGUAGAUAAAUGUAGUAAUUUUUUUGAAGGAGAAGCAGGUGAAGAAAUGAAUGAUGAAAAGAAAAGAACACUCAAUGUUAUUAAAGAACAAUACCAUAGGUGACUGCCAUGAUGUAUUGUAGACAACAGUCAGUGAAUGCCUCCAGACUGCCACAAGAACAGUUGCUAGUAGGAGCAGGCAUCACAUCUUUUCUCCCUCUGGCAAUGAUUUGCGGCAAUGUGUUCAGGCCUUUUAUGAUGUUUGGGGAAUGCCAUUCGUUGUACCCACAUUGCCAUUUCUAAACCAUCAGUGGAUAAUUCUGAAGUGUUUUGUUGUCUUAAAGCUUUUUUUCUCUAUCAUUGUGCAAGGUGUGUGCGGACCUGAGUUGCUGUUUCAUAAUGUUGUUGCUCAUUGGCCAGGGAGUGUCAGUGACAGUAGAAUUUUUUAAAACAGUCAACUUUGGAAUACAUUUUUGAUUCUAGACACCAUUUACUUGGAGAUACUGCUUAUGCACUGAAAACCAUUUGUAAUGGCUCCAGUGUCAGCACCAAGGGAUGCCCAUGAGAGAGCAUAUAACAAGAGCCAUUCUGAGCUAAAUUUAAGUAAUUGAAUGAACAUUUGGUGUACUAAAAAGAUUUGGUUAUUUUGGUAUGAAAUUUAGAACAUUUAAACACCACUAAAACCAUCACUCUUGCACGUCUGGUGAUGCAAAACAUAGGUGUUAAAAGUAGAUGGAUUUUGCUUCAUGAUGGGGGAAGAUGUCAUUUAGAAUGAUGUUCCCAACAGAAUGGAUGUACAAGUACUUGCAAAUGAACAAGGGAGACAAAAACAGGAACAAAUAAUCAGGAAUCACUUCUAAGUAUGCCUCCAUGGCCUACACUGUACAGGUGAAGUGUGCCUCACUAGGAAAUAAUUUGUAAGAGAUAAGUACCUUUAUGAUUGGAAAGAAACUGUAUUAAUUUUU
Scylla paramamosain (green mud crab) is the source of this 3319-nucleotide long non-coding RNA. RefSeq lists it as uncharacterized. NCBI's taxonomy places the organism in Eukaryota, Metazoa, Arthropoda, Malacostraca, Decapoda, Portunidae. The record is from RefSeq and is a predicted model, not a curated record. The transcript is spliced from 4 exons.